CAGCCGCCGCGGUAAUACGUAGGGUGCGAGCGUUAAUCGGAAUUACUGAGCGUAAAGCGUGCGCAGGCGGUUUUGUAAGACAGGCGUGAAAUCCCCGGGCUCAACCUGGGAAUGGCGCUUGUGACUGCAAAGCUAGAGUGCGGCAGAGGGGGAUGGAAUUCCGCGUGUAGCAGUGAAAUGCGUAGAUAUGCGGAGGAACACCGAUGGCGAAGGCAAUCCCCUGGGCCUGCACUGACGCUCAUGCACGAAAGCGUGGGGAGCAAACAGGAUUAGAUACCCCGGUAGUCCCUGUCUCUUAUAC
RNAcentral lists this ribosomal RNA (301 nucleotides) under uncultured bacterium. Its description in RNAcentral is "partial 16S ribosomal RNA". It matches the Rfam family "Bacterial small subunit ribosomal RNA", at positions 509 to 807 of the family's 1533-position model. The record is from RNAcentral.